GAAAAGAUCCGCAAAGAGACUCCCUACCCUGCGGCACGGAAAGCUUGAAGGACACUCCAGGACGAAAACAGCGGCAAGGUGGCUGGUUCUGCCUUUGUCUAGGAAUGGUCAGCAGGUUAAAUUGAGGUUCUGAACAGCUCUGCUCAGAUGGAAACUCAGAUCAGAGCAAAGGACGCACUCUUCCUUGACUUUGACGGCAUUUGUUUGCGUUGCCCUGCGGUGCACAGUGUGUUCCUUGUAUUUCUGCCUCGGCCGUGGUCAUUCCUCGCAAAGGUCUGAGUUAAGAAGCUAAGCUGGAGAUGAGCAGGGGAAGUGGUUCUCAGCUUGUGGUGUUAAAGUGAGUGAUUAUAAACUUUCUCCAGACCAGAUCGUGUUGCUUUUGGAGUGGCU
RNAcentral lists this long non-coding RNA (390 nucleotides) under Rattus norvegicus (Norway rat). RNAcentral describes it as "long non-coding RNA NONRATT012178". Lineage: Eukaryota; Metazoa; Chordata; Mammalia; Rodentia; Muridae. The record is from RNAcentral.